GUCUACGGCCAUACCACCUUGAACACGCCCGAUCUCGUCUGACCUUGGAAGCUAAGCAGGGUCGGGCCUGGUUAGUACUUGGAUGGGAGAUAUCCAGUCAUAAGGUCCUAAAUUCAAUCCUCACAACUGCAUAUU
Ribosomal RNA from Erinaceus europaeus (western European hedgehog), 135 nucleotides. NCBI's taxonomy places the organism in Eukaryota, Metazoa, Chordata, Mammalia, Eulipotyphla, Erinaceidae. The record is from Ensembl.